This 253-nucleotide ribosomal RNA is filed under the name uncultured bacterium. RNAcentral's name for it is "partial 16S ribosomal RNA". It matches the Rfam family "Bacterial small subunit ribosomal RNA", at positions 524 to 776 of the family's 1533-position model. The record is from RNAcentral.
UACGUAGGGUGCGAGCGUUAAUCGGAAUUACUGGGCGUAAAGGGUGCGCAGGCGGUUGAUUAAGUCAGAUGUGAAAUCCCCGGGCUUAACCUGGGAGCUGCAUUUGAGACUGGUCGGCUGGAGUGUGUCAGAGGGGGGUAGAAUUCCACGUGUAGCAGUGAAAUGCGUAGAGAUGUGGAGGAAUACCGAUGGCGAAGGCAGCCCCCUGGGAUAACACUGACGCUCAUGCACGAAAGCGUGGGGAGCAAACAGG